Pecten maximus is the source of this 2018-nucleotide long non-coding RNA. RefSeq lists it as uncharacterized. The transcript has 2 exons. The record is from RefSeq and is a predicted model, not a curated record. NCBI's taxonomy places the organism in Eukaryota, Metazoa, Mollusca, Bivalvia, Pectinida, Pectinidae.
GGUUAGAUUUCAAUAAUUUCUACAUGCAUUUGAUUUCCGGAAAGCGUUGUGAUACUUGAAAUUAAAUUGUUUACAAAAUUAUGACACUUUUUGUGAAAUAUUGGCAAUGUUUAUCAACUUCGAAUUAUCGCUGAACAACAUUUGUUGUUUACAUCGGAGAGAGCCGAGUGCGUCACAUGAUUUCAGUAUCCUCGCUUUCACCCGACGAAAAUGGAAUCGAGGUAAGUGUAAACAUUUUGUCACGUGGAUGUAGAACGUGAUUACUUUGCAAUCGGAUGGUUUAUACGGUCUCGAGGAGUACCGAUCGUUAUUCACUAUUGUUGAUUGAGAGCUCAAACAGAUAAAAUCAACCUCAAUAUCAUCUUGAUUGGCAAGUCAGCAGAGCAUGCAGUCUAAUUAUAUAUGGGUAGAGGUCAAGGUGACAGGAGUAAAGAAAAUAUAGAAAUCGUGAAAAUUUAAGCAUUUUAUUGGUAAUCACUUUGUCUGUUUGCCCAUACACAUAAGCUGAAUUAUCUUAUUUCAAGUUAGUUGUUUUGACACCUGUGCAGUGAAAAGGUUUGAUAUAAAAUCAAAAUAAAUUACAUUACAUCAUUGAAUUCAUGGAAACCUUUUGUUUUAUGUACCAUAUUUCAUAUGCAGCAGUUUUCACUGAUACUGGCUUAUGUAAAACAAGAGGCCAAUUGGCCUUAAUGGUCACCUGAGUUUUGAAAUAUUCAAUUUAAUUGACCCUUUUUAGCCUCGCCCAGAAGGUCAGUCAGGGCCAACAUGUGCAUGCGAUCAAGCUGUCAUCCCAUGCUGAUAAUGUUAAUGAAGUUAGAAUGAAUUUCAAUAGAAAUCAAACAAAUGCUGAUCAAAAUUGUGAUUUCCCUAUAUAAAUUUAGUCCCCCAUCAGGGUCAUGAAAUUCACAAUUUUUGUUAAAGACACCAGUAUAUGAUUCUACCAUAUCUGCGAGCUGAGAAGAUCUUUCAAAUUUUAGUCAAUUUGACCCUUUUUGACCCUGCCCCUCAGGUCCCUGGAGGUUGGGACUAUGUAAUCCACAGUUUUGGUUGACCUUUUGACCAUGAAAGCUUACUGACAAAUUGUUUAAAGACAAGCAAGGAAAGACGACGGACAAAAGUCAGUUAGAAUAGGUCACUUCAUACUUCAUCUCAGUUGACCUAAAGAUCCAACCCUAAUUUAUCAGAAUAUCAACAGAACAGUGACUUAUGAUGUUGAUAAUACACUAAACAGUAAAUGCACAGUACAAUUUGUCUCACAAAUAGUUUUGAUAUAGAAAACACUGAGAAAAGUCAAACAUGCAAAUAAAGAAUUUACCACAUUGUAUUUAUUGUCUUGCUCAGAUGUAAGCAUUGGCAUCAAUGACUAGAGAAAGUUGACUGCCAUGACUAGUGACUUAACAUCAAUGACAAUUGUUGGCAUCAGUGAUAAUUGAGUGUUGACAUCAAUGACUAUUGAGUAUUAUGGAGUGUUGACAUACAUGACUGGAGUAUUAUGGAGUGUUGACAUACGUUACUAAUGAGUACUAGUGAGUGUUGUCAUCCAUGACUAUUGAGUAUUAGUGAGUGUUGACAUAAAUGACUAUUGAGUACUACUACUAGUGAGUGUUGUCAUCCAUGACCAUUGAGUACUAGUGUGUGUUGACAUUAAAGACUAUUGAGCACUAGUGGGUGUUGACAUCAAUGAAUUUUGAGAGUUUAUAAAUUACUUGUGAGUGUUAACAUGAAUAUUUCAAUAGUGCACACAUGUACAGCUAUGAAUAAUCAUUUUUGACUAAGCAUUUAAUUUCAGACCAGACAAUGUUGUUUGUCUCUUGAGAUUAUAUAAAUUUUGAAAUUAAGGCUGCACUGAUUAUCAUAUGACAUUAAUGGAAUGGAUAACAGCUAAGCUAUUAUAGUAACAUUAUACCAAUAAACUAAAUACUACUCAAAUUUAAGUUACAUUUCAAACAUUUUUCUACUUUUGAACUACCUCUCCCAACAAUGGUUCAAACUACAAGUGGACUAGAUGUAAUUCUUGA